This 354-nucleotide ribosomal RNA is filed under the name Nanos viettei. Its description in RNAcentral is "partial 16S ribosomal RNA". Lineage: Eukaryota; Metazoa; Arthropoda; Insecta; Coleoptera; Scarabaeidae. The record is from RNAcentral.
ACCUGCCCUAUGAUUAAAAAUUAAAUGGCUGCGGUAUUUUGACCGUGCAAAGGUAGCAUAAUAAUUAGUUUUUUAAUUGGGAACUGGUAUGAAAGGUCGAACGAGGAAGAGACUGUCUCAAUUUAAUUUAAAUUAGAAUUUUAUAUUUAAGUAAAAAAGCUUAAAUAUAUUUAAAAGACGAGAAGACCCUAUAGAGUUUUAUAUUAAGGUGAUUAUAUAGGAAAUUAAAGGAUUAGUUUUUUUUUGUAAUUAUUAAAAUAUUUGGUUGGGGCGAUUAAAAAAUUUAAUAAACUUUUUUUAAAUUAUAACAUUGAUUUAUGAAUAAGUGAUCCAUAUUUAAUGAUUAUAAGAUUA